RNAcentral lists this ribosomal RNA (465 nucleotides) under uncultured bacterium. RNAcentral's name for it is "bacterial SSU rRNA". It matches the Rfam family "Bacterial small subunit ribosomal RNA", at positions 338 to 795 of the family's 1533-position model. The record is from RNAcentral.
CCUACGGGUCGCACCAGGGGGGAAUAUUGCACAAUGGGCGCAAGCCUGAUGCAGCCAUGCCGCGUGUAUGAAGAAGGCCUUCGGGUUGUAAAGUACUUUCAGCGGGGAGGAAGGUGAUGUGGUUAAUAACCACAACAAUUGACGUUACCCGCAGAAGAAGCACCGGCUAACUCCGUGCCAGCAGCCGCGGUAAUACGGAGGGUGCAAGCGUUAAUCGGAAUUACUGGGCGUAAAGCGCACGCAGGCGGUCUGUCAAGUCGGAUGUGAUGUCCCCGGGCUCAACCUGGGAACUGCAUUCGAAACUGGCAGGCUAGAGUCUUGUAGAGGGGGGUAGAAUUCCAGGUGUAGCGGUGAAAUGCGUAGAGAUCUGGAGGAAUACCGGUGGCGAAGGCGGCCCCCUGGACAAAGACUGACGCUCAGGUGCGAAAGCGUGGGGAGCAAACAGGAUUAGAUACCCUCGUAGUC